RNAcentral lists this transfer RNA (76 nucleotides) under Clostridiaceae bacterium. RNAcentral's name for it is "tRNA-Lys". It matches the Rfam family "tRNA". From Rfam's summary of the family: Transfer RNA (tRNA) molecules are approximately 80 nucleotides in length. Their secondary structure includes four short double-helical elements and three loops (D, anti-codon, and T loops). The record is from RNAcentral. RNAcentral also lists the same sequence under 1 other name. Lineage: Bacteria; Bacillati; Bacillota; Clostridia; Eubacteriales; Clostridiaceae.
GCACCAUUAGCUCAGUCGGUAGAGCACCUGACUCUUAAUCAGGGUGUCCUGGGUUCGAGUCCCAGAUGGUGUACCA